RNAcentral lists this ribosomal RNA (253 nucleotides) under uncultured bacterium. Its description in RNAcentral is "partial 16S ribosomal RNA". It matches the Rfam family "Archaeal small subunit ribosomal RNA", at positions 474 to 727 of the family's 1478-position model. The record is from RNAcentral.
UACCAGCACCCCGAGUGGUCGGGACGAUUAUUGGGCCUAAAGCAUCCGUAGCCGGUUCUGCAAGUCCCCCGUUAAAUCCAGCUGCUCAACAGAUGGGCCGCGGAGGAUACUACAGAGCUAGGAGGCAGGAGAGGCAAGCGGUACUCAGUGGGUAGGGGUAAAAUCCGUUGAUCCAUUGAAGACCACCAGUGGCGAAGGCGGCUUGCUGGGCCGGACCUGACGCUGAGACGCGAAGGCGUGGGGAGCGAACGGG